RNAcentral lists this ribosomal RNA (418 nucleotides) under Helina impuncta. Its description in RNAcentral is "partial 16S ribosomal RNA". The record is from RNAcentral. Lineage: Eukaryota; Metazoa; Arthropoda; Insecta; Diptera; Muscidae.
UUUGAAUGGCCGCAGUAUAUUAACUGUGCAAAGGUAGCAUAAUCAUUAGUUUUUUAAUUGGAAGCUGGUAUGAAUGGUUGGACGAGAUAUUAACUGUUUCAUAAAAAUUUUAAUUAAAAUUUUAUUUUUUAGUUAAAAAGCUAAAAUAGAUUUAAAAGACGAGAAGACCCUAUAAAUCUUUAUAUUUAUGAUUAUUUUAAUUUUAUAAUUUUUUUUUUCAAUUUUAAUAAUUUAUAAUAUUUUAUUGGGGUGAUAUUAAAAUUUAAUAAACUUUUAAUUAUUAAAAACAUUAAUUUAUGAUUUAUUGAUCUAUUAUUAAUGAUUAAAAAUUUAAGUUACUUUAGGGAUAACAGCGUAAUUUUUUUGGAAAGUUCAUAUUUAUAAAAAAGAUUGCGACCUCGAUGUUGGAUUAAGAUAU